Molecule: long non-coding RNA, 754 nt
Organism: Lycium barbarum (goji berry)
Lineage: Eukaryota; Viridiplantae; Streptophyta; Magnoliopsida; Solanales; Solanaceae
Exons: 3
Source: RefSeq, a predicted model, not a curated record
AUUCUCUUUCUAGUAGUCACACAUAUAAGCAAAUAUUGUACUGUUGUUACUGUAGGAGGAUGUAGUGUUGGCUGUGAUCAGAUUUCUAUUGUAUCAGCUAUCCAUUGGUGCCAUAUAGGAGGCUCCAGAAUCACCAAGAACAUGCAAGACAACUGGUAUAGAACUGGGAAGAUCACCUCAUCCACCUGAGCUUCUGAGGAAGACACGACUCAAGGCGAAUAAUGAGUUUGUGGAUCAGAAAUCAAAACCACAUAUGAUGUCGUCAUAUCUAAGAUUACAUCGGUGUCUCAGCCUGAAGAUUGAUCAAGUGAACCUCCUACAAUUGACUUUUCAAAAAUUUAUUUGGAUGAGUGGGUGGGAUUAAGAACACGCACCUUUAUGGUGUUGGUCUUCAAGCACCUUUCUAUGGGCAUGUUGGUGAAUCCUCCGCUUCGACGUCUUGACUUCAACAUCUAGACUUUGAUGCUCGAGUGCAAUAAUCUGUUGGACAUCGUUUUCAAGAAAUGAAGGAAGAAAUGAAGCAUGAGAUGAGAGGAGAUCAGACAAGAAAAAAGGGAAGAAACGCGACAAGUAUUGCGUGAAGAAUGAGACAUGAAGUGCAACAAGAGGUGCAAGAGCAAGUUAAUCAGAUACUUCAAGCACAUUGUUUGGGCAUCAUAGCUCGCUUAACUUCACCUCCUUCUGGUAGACCUGACAUGUCCUUGAAUAAUGAUACAAGUCAUAUUUAGAUCAAUUUUAGAUUGUUUUAUGUUAG